RNAcentral lists this ribosomal RNA (227 nucleotides) under uncultured Enterobacterales bacterium. RNAcentral's name for it is "partial 16S ribosomal RNA". It matches the Rfam family "Bacterial small subunit ribosomal RNA", at positions 104 to 334 of the family's 1533-position model. The record is from RNAcentral. Lineage: Bacteria; Pseudomonadati; Pseudomonadota; Gammaproteobacteria; Enterobacterales.
GGGUGAGUAAUGUCUGGGAAACUGCCUGAUGGAGGGGGAUAACUACUGGAAACGGUAGCUAAUACCGCAUAAUGUCGCAAGACCAAAGAGGGGGACCUUCGGGCCUCUUGCCAUCAGAUGUGCCCAGAUGGGAUUAGCUUGUUGGUGGGGUAACGGCUCACCAAGGCGACGAUCCCUAGCUGGUCUGAGAGGAUGACCAGCCACACUGGAACUGAGACACGGUCCAG